This 8335-nucleotide long non-coding RNA is filed under the name Podarcis lilfordi (Lilford's wall lizard). The record is from RNAcentral. Lineage: Eukaryota; Metazoa; Chordata; Lepidosauria; Squamata; Lacertidae.
GGAUCGAUUGUGGUAUCAAGAUAGUGAUCGCCUUUGUGUUUCAUUUUUGUAGUAAAAAAAAGAAAGAAAGCUCAACAACUUUGGUCAAGACUUCCCUAAAAAAAGCUCAGCAACUACUGGCAAUGACAAUGGAUAGAUCACAGCUGGUCUUUUUAUACUGUGAGUAGAUCGCAGUUUCUUGGGAGUUGGACGUGCCUGGCUUACUAUAAAGACUACCCUUUGCCAACUAGGUGCCCACCAGAUGGUUGGGGCCUAAAACUCCCACCAUCCCCAAUCCUUGGCCAUUCUGGCUGAGGAUGAGUUGUAGCCCAAAACAUAUGAAGGCCACCAGACUGGGGAAGGCUGGUCAUGCCCUGAACUUACUACAAAUAGAUGAGAAAGUAGAACAUUGAAUUUGAGCUUCUGGUAUAUUAUACUUCUGCAAUGUUUUUCUUUUUUCUUUUUGAAACGGGUAGUAACUCAGAAGGCUUUACUACAUGAAGGCAAUGAACAACUAGAAAAGUGAAGAUAGUUUCUGGGUGAGAUACAGGUUUGGUUUUUUAAAGUACAGAUUUUUUAUGUUUAUCUUCCAUAUCAAAGUUCAUGAGUUGCUUUUGGGUAACUUGUUAUUCAACACUGCUACCAAAAAAAUGACGAGAAACUGAUCCUUCAGACAUUCAUCUGUUUGUCAUGUUCCUAAAGCUCAUAACUUGGGACAAGGUUACCUGAAAGACUGGCUGUCCCUCUGUAGACCCAUAAGAUCAGUGAGAUCAUCUGGAGAAAUUCUACUUAUGGCAUUUCACCCUGUAGAAUAUCAUAGGGCAGUGACUGCCAGUAACUGCAUUUUUUGCUCUUGUCUCUGUCCUGCAGAGUGCCCUUCCUUCUGUUAUACAGCAGACAUCUGAAGCUCUUGUCUGUUCAGAAUUAAAUUCCAUUGUCCUUAUUUCCAGGCAGGGGACUAUAGGAUUGCCGCUUAAACUAUCUCCAUUACUAGCUUCCCUACACACCUACCACAUCCAACCUUAUUGUGUUCUUAAGGUGGUCAGAGAGUAUUCUGUUCCUUCUCUUCAUCUGAUGAUCAGUAUUCUGAAAACACCCAUACCUUUGCUUUCCUGUUUUCUGAUAUGUGAACAGUCAUCAUCUUAUAAGCCACAUGGAUGCUAAAGAAAUCCUCCCCAGGGAGCAAGGCAUGUGCAAAUAUUAUUCACCCGGAAAUUCCAGUUAAUUAGGUCAUGGCAAGGGCUCUGACACAGCUUAGGUCUUAUUCUGUAGAGUACUUAGUUUAAUGCAGGGACAGAGAACCCUUUUCAGCUCAGGGGCCACUUUCCCUCAUGGACAGCCCUUCUGGAGGCCGCAUGCCAAUGGUAGGUAGGGCUAGGAGGAAAGUGGUUGGAGCAAUGGAUGUAAACGCUUCCCUCUGCACAGUUGGCUGGGUUCCAGCCAGCUAUUUUGACACCCCCUCCACCUACCAUCCAUUCUCCACCCACCAGCCAGAAAAACGAGAGGCAGCCAAGCACUGAUUCCAGCCAGGCAAAAGCACAUGAGGACGAUUCAAAGCAAAGCUGGUAAGAGGGUUGGGCCUAGGGAGAGUCCAGGGCAGCAGAGAGAUUCCUCUGCUCCUGACAUCAUGUCUAAUCCAGUCAUGAGAGGGAAAGGAAAGGAUAGAGGCAAAUGGAGCAAGGCGGGUGGAGGGAGGAUGCUCACAGCAUUUUGAAGCUGAAAAAAUCUCUCAACUAAAUUAUGCUUCAUUAUUCAAAUGGCGCUCCUUUUGCACAGAGAGAUCUUGUCUGGUGCUUAUAUGCAAGCCUGCCUUGCACAUUGUGGCUCUGGGUAUGAGCUACAUUCCAUUUACAAUAAUUAACCUGCUCUUCCUUUAUGCAGUGGAAGCUUCUGUGGUACACAUUCUCUCCCUGAAUUAGAUAUCCAGCUUUGGUGUAUUUUUAUACCUAAUUAGACCUAACCUGUCACAUAGCAAAUAGCUCUAUCUAUUGUGUGAUUUAUAACGUCUUUUUCUAUGCAACUGUAUAUUAUCUCAACAAUUCAAAUCCUUGAAUGUAUUUUAAGUAGAGAGAUGUAAACAGCUUGUUUAACUUGACCUUCAGAUGCCCUUUCCUGCUCAAUCCUGAGCUGAUUUCAUUGGUAUACAAUAUGCACUGUAUUUUCAGCCUGUUACUAUAGAAAAGAGCUGUGAAAUGGCAUUUCCCCUUCCCGUUUCUGAUGCCUGUCAUGCUUCGUCAAUGCUGACAAGCAAUUAUUAGCCUUUGUUUCUUUUAUACUGUAUAUUGGCAAAACAAUCAUUGCAAGGAAUUGUAGAGGUAGAAGCCAUUAUCUUUGUACUGUAGUGGUAACAUAGCUUUUAGGCUUACUGAAAAUAUCCAUUAGGUUCUGUCCUCUUAUCUCGAAAUGCUUUUCUGCUCCGCUUUUGAGUUGCUCUGGGAGUUAAAUCGCCAACUUCGCCGACACUAAGAAAGGAUACGAUAACUUUAUUCUCUCUCAAGUUGAUUUUUAUUUUGGACUAGCCUUUGUGUGGUACUGAAUACACCUUCUGUUCAGUUCAACCCUAGUUAGAUUCCUUUUUCCCCUUACCCCUUUUUAAAUUAAUUGAUUUGUUUACACAGGUAAGUUGUUUACAGUUGAUCCAAUAUACAUAAAACUGACAGACAGAUAUACAAGUAUGCAAAUAUCAUUAAACAUCUAUUAAAUACUCAAAUGAAGCAUAUACAUUUCAUGAAGUUCCCAACAAUGAAUGUUGAUGGACAUUAACUUGUGCCUUAUUGCACCUACAAAUUAUAAAAAUGCUCCAUUUUUUCACAUAAGGUUAUCCAGCUGCCUCCCCUCUCUGACUUGGGGAUCAUCCAUAAUUCCUCUUGUUCCACUGCUUUCCCCUGGGGAAAACUGAUAUUUAGCACUCAGUUGCAGCAAAUGGCAAUUCGUGCUUUCCUCUCAGAAGUGUGGAUGAACACUUUCUGUAUUUGUUUUUACUGUAGGUAUGGUAUCCCAAACUUUAAUAUCCACUUCUCCAGAUUCUGAGAAAAUUUGUCAGAUUCUGUGAAAAUUUGGGUUUUCUUAUUUGCAAUGAAAAGCCAUGCCUUUAAAAAUAAAUAAACUAUUUUUUUAAAAAAGAGGUCAUUCAUGACAACCACAUAAUAUAUCACUGAAUUCCUGUGUUUUGGAUGAUAAACCUACAGAAGACAUGUGGAGGUGGAAAAUAGAUCUGACCCACGUGUGGGUCUAUUGCGUGGACAGGCAGAGUCCCCAGAUCCCGAGCGGUCCCCCCUGUCAUGUGGAAUAACAACUCAAGACAAUGUGCUAUGGGAUUAAAUUGGCCACAACUUUAUUAAAUUUCAAAUGUGGGUAGACCUUGGCUCAGGCAUUGGGCGUUCUCCCUCCCCAGUCCCCAGCCGGGGACCUAGGGAGCAUCAGGGUUAUCCAGUGUGUGUGUGGGGGGGAUGGGCCGGCUCUGGAGAACAUAUGUUCAAGCAGAGAUAGCCGCCCCCGUUACGCCGCCGCCGCAGGGGAGAGCUCUUGCCCCCCCACCCCUCUAGCAAUGAACAGACCACACAUUAUUAAGUAAAUUUAAAAGCUGUACUUACUAAAGCUAAAGGUCUGGUUCAUGUGUUAUUCCAUGCAGCAGCAAGGAGAACACAAGUAGAAUACUCUUGGGUGCAAAAAUACAGAUUAUAGUUUCAAGCAUGCAGUCUGAACUUUGGAGCAAGUUCAGACUCAUCCAGUUAAAAAACAACUCCUUUCUCUCCUGGUCUUUUUGGUGUGGUUAUUUAGAGGAAUGGUGCCUGUAUUGAGAAAGGACAGGGAAGCUUGGGUAGUCAUCUGAAGAGCAUAGCUGUUUUAGCAUCCUGUUUGAUUUUAUGUUUGAUUUUGUUUUGAAGAAUUUUGUUGUUGUGACCCUAGGGAUUGCAGUAGGCACUAGGAAUGAAUUUAUGGAACUAAAGUGGCAGUGGCCCCAUAAAAGUCUGGGAACCACUGAUCUCCAUGUAUCUGAUGGUUUGCAAAGUGUGGGAGAACUGUUAUGACUGUUUUGAAAUGUGCUGCAUCUUUCCAGGGCAGAGGCACCAUUGUGUUCAAGGCUGCUCACUUUUUUCCUGCAGUUUUGCUCCCAAAAUGACAAUGUAGAAAGAUGGGAAGAUAAAAAUGCUGGCCUUAGUACUUCUAUAAAGUGCGCUCUCUCUCUGUCUCUCUCUCUCUCACAUACCCUCAGAGAGUAAAAACAAACAAAAACAAACAAACACUUGGGAAAAAUUAUAAGUCUUUGUUUUAUUCCACUUUGCAAGCCACUGCCCUAAAUGAAGCCAAUAAAUGACUUUAGUAGCACAGUUUCCCAGCUGUGAUCCCUGCUUGCCAAAUUUCAGCCUAAAGCCAUUUUUACAGCUUAAUUGUAGCACACUUGUAAAUAGGGGGUUGCUUUUGGAAAGGUUGACAGACCCAUUGGUCUUGUGUAGCUACACAGGUGCUGCUAUAAUAAACACCUUGAAAGCUGUAAUAAGUUAAAGUUUUAGACUCCCUUUUGUGCUAAUAGCAAUGGCCUAUUCCUUGAGUAGAUAAGAGUGGCCCUCAAACACAUGCUGCAGGUUCUGUUGGACAGGAUUUUGCACAAAAUUUACUUUCAGCUCCAUUCUUAUAAUUAUACUCCUUUUACAGUGUUUGGUAAGACUGAGAAAAUAACAGCCAUUGUUUUUCUCCCAGUGUGUAUGGGCCCUGUAAAAAUAGAAAAAUAAGCUAGAAUCAUGCCUUUUGGUUGAUUCUCAGAAAGGAGAAGCAAGGGGUGAUGCUGCGCCCAGUAUACCUCAUCUCCUUGCUUUGCACCAUUCUUGAUAGUUUUUGCAUGACUGUGCCGUUGGCCACUGAUAAUGAUUCUGACUUGCCUGGUUGAAGUAUACAGAGGUGUGUGUGUGUGUGUGUGUGUGUGUGUGUGUGUGUAGAAAUCAGUAUGCUUUUCCUUCUUCCCCUGCCCACCAUGGAGGCAUGUGGGCUCCAGAAGGUAGAUCAGAAGGGAAUUUGACCCUCAGCCUGAAAAGAGUUAUAGGGAAUGGCUGAUAGUGUGGAAUUUUAGCUCUUAAGAAAGGGUUUCAAUAUUAUGCUGCCUUAGGUUGAGAUCAUGCACAAAGUAUCUAGAUCCUACUAUGCACAUCCUGCCCCAUAUUGAGUGGGAGAGAAAUGAGACAAAAGUGGCUGAAAUAUUCCUCUCAUUGCUAUUUCUCCCCAAAGUGUACUUUGCCAUAAUAUCACGAUCAGGGGCUAACCUCAGCAUUGGAGGAGGUGAUUUUUUUGUGGAAGAAUGGUGUGAGGUAGGAAAGGGCUCACCUUCCCAUUUUGUACAUCAUGGUCUCUCUUCUCCAACUCCAAUGUAGCUAUUUCUGGAAAAAAACCCCAGAACAAGCCUGGGAGAGAUGAUCAUAUGGAUGAUGCGUCACCUAGCAUAGGUCUGACUGCACAGGAAAUAGAAAUACAUGAGAUAAACCCUGUGUGAACGUUGAAGCUCCUCAGUAAACUAAAAUUACAGUUCGCCAACAUUACUCCAGUAACUUCCAUGCCAUCUUACUGGGUAGAACACCUGCAUCAUUUCUGUCUUAACUCUUUGAUCCAUCACCAGGUUUAGUCCUUCAAAUUUGGUUCCUGAAUGCAUGUGUCUCAUGGGGCUAGAGAUGGAAUUUCUGUGGGUGACAACAACCCUGCUCCCUCCCUGCCAGCCUAUGCUGCUGCUGAACCAGAGCUGUGUCUAAUUCAUUCAUUCAUUCAUUCAUUCAUUCAUGCCACCUAGAUGCCUGUAAAACAUACCAGGUCAGUCUCCUCACCCAUGAUUUAUAUGUGAGCUGCAUGCUCAAUCAUGGUUAAGGAGGACACAUCUUUUGUUCUCUACCUACAGGGAUGGGCAUAUUUAAAAGCAUACUGUAUAAGGCAAGUUGGAUCAAGGCAUCAUACUUGAUAAACUAUUGGCUCUAAGCCCAUGCAGGGCAGGUUUGUGAUCUUCUCCAAAGCCAACCUUCCCACUGAAUCUGUCUUCUCCCACUUUGGCUGCUCAAUAAGGGUACAACCAGCAACCUGGAUCAUUGUGACCAAUUUUUCUUUUGAGAAGGGACUGCUGAGGGGAGAGCUGACCAUUAAUUGUGGACCCCCGAUACAGGUAUUUUUUUGUAAAAAUAAAUAAAUGUUUGGUUGGAGAACCACACCACAAAUUUCAGGUGCUAAUUUCAAAGGAUGCCUGUAUUUCCGGUCAUAUUGUUUCAGAAAGUACUAAUUUGAUAGAUUUGCCUUCAAAUAGGAAUUGAAUCAAAUUCCUCCCUCAUACCUACAUGAGAGCUAUUUUUAAUGAAAAGGACAGAAUUUUCCCGCAUCUUUGAAAAGUAUCAUGUUUAGCUCAGUCAUGAGAAAAAAAGUUAUCUCAAGUGAUUAUUCAGAUGUCAGCUCACCUUAGCUUGCCACACAUCCUGUAUCUUUGGAAACUUCCUAUUUUUAGUCCUGAGCUUUCUCUGCAUUCAAAACUGCUGACAACACUGAAAUCCUUCCUGCACAAUUCAUUUGGCAAAUAAUUAGGAGCAACCAUUGCUGAUUUGCUUUAUGUGCAAUUUAAUGAGCCAUAUGUGGGCCACGUUAAAUUUAAGAUGUUGCAUAUUAUCUGGGCAAGUGAUAUUAUAUAACACAGUGUCAUGUAGCAUCUUGCAAGAUGUUUAAGGUUUCUGUAUCAUAAGAAGCUGAAAUAUUCAGUGGAAUCUUUUACUGUGGUCUGAAGACUAGUCUUCUCAGUCAAAAGUGAGUAGGUGUAUGUCCAUUGACAGUGGUUGGCAUGGUAAGCCAAUUUUCUCUGUGCAGCAGGCCUGAUCCACAACUAUUGGAAACUGACCCACAACUAUUGGAAAUGAGAGUGAACAGUUGUAAGCAAAUGGUUUCAUGUGUAUUAAGCUUAUCUAGUGUGCCUAUAAGUGUCUGAUCCUCCCCUUUAACAUUUUUCUAAAUGUUAACCCAAGCAUUCAAGGGAAAACUGGGAUAAAAAUUCAAAUUAGAAAACAAUAGCAACCCAGAAUGUAAAGACAUACCAAUAUCAGCAUGCUAAAGUGAUAGCCAGCUCUUCAAUUUUUGUGUUUUAAAGUUCUGGUUCUAAUGUUCUAUUCAGCUGCCAUAGCGAAAGACGUUUUCAGUCACCUGAGGGAGGUCUGUUCCACAAUUUCUAACAGUUUAUAAUGAGAUUUUCAUAUAGUAGUGGAAACCUUUAAAGAUAACCAGGGGAACUUUGCCUGCCUGGUGUGGCGUAGAGGCCCCUGUCAAAACCAUUUCCAGUCACCAGCUUGGUUAUGUUAAUUGUUGGCAAAAUUUGAUAAGAAAUGUGGCCAGUUUACUUCCCUGUCUCUAAACUCAGCUGUGGAAAAUUUGGGCAUGUAGAAUUUGGUGGCUGGUUUCAUCAAACGUAAGCAGUCUGGCUAUGGGAUAUCAGGGGCUCCUCAAAUAAUUUCAGAUGCAAUGCUUUUCAGCGAAGUCAGUUGUCUGUUCAUAGGAACAAUUUCACACAACCUUUCACCACAUGUAGAGCAGAGAGUGAUACUACAUCUAAUGUCCUCUACUCCUAUGCAUGUGUACAGGUAGUUGAAAUUUUAGAAUAAAAGCUGUACACAUACAGCUGGGUGUGCCGGACCUUUUGCUACACAUAUAUAGUUAUCUGCUGUCAGGGCUGCAGUCAGAUGCAGGUUAGCAAGAAAGGAAGCAAAGCUCCAAUGUCAGUGAAGUAAACUCUUUAUUCAAGGAAACAAAAUACAACUCAGCCAAUCCAUGACAUGUGCAUGCUGGUUCUUUUUCAACCUGCAGUCGAAUGCUACUGGUUACAGUAGAGCCUAGGGAUGGGGGAGGAAUUCAAUUCAGUUUGCAUUCAAAUGCAAACUUUCAUGCAUUGCAGAUUCCGAAACAAUAUGCAAACCAAUCCAGGGGUAAAAUAUGGGGAGAAGCAAGUAAGCCCUGUGCCACAUAAACACAUGACACGGUGCAUGGACUCCAUUUGAAUGGCAAUGCCCAUCAACUUCGGGAACUCCAACCCGCUCAAAUAUUUUACUGGGGGCCAAAGGCCCCUCAGCCCCUAGGAAUUGGCUCCUAUGAACCAAUCAGAGUCAUCCUUCAGAAAUUCACAUUUCUCUGAAUUUUGCAGUGCAUUUCUCCAGCACACAAAAAUGCAUAUAUGAAUGUAAAGUGUGCAUAGAAAUGCAUAUAUUAGUUAAAAUAACAUAAAACACAUAUUUUUGCAAAGCAGUUUCCCCUGAUGUGUAUCUUAGGAUAAAUUUGCACUAAAGUGCUAAUGAAUUUUCAUGAGGGCUUAAAAGCUGCAACCCACAAACUAAAGUGGGAGUGUGGAGCAUUG